AGAGAGAUGCACAAAAUAUAACCAAUUAACGUAGAUCAACUUAAGGCUUACUUUCACGGGAUAUGCAACUUCAUUGUGAGAGAUAUCCACAAAUACAAAAAGAGAUCACACACUCUCAACUCUUAUACAUCAAUCUCUCAACAAAAAGCAUACAUUCCUCACAAAAAAUUCUCAAAAAAUCUUAAAGAGACACUCCAGCCA
RNAcentral lists this long non-coding RNA (201 nucleotides) under Elaeis guineensis (African oil palm). RNAcentral's name for it is "long non-coding RNA (EGUI_LNC030147)". Lineage: Eukaryota; Viridiplantae; Streptophyta; Magnoliopsida; Arecales; Arecaceae. The record is from RNAcentral.